Molecule: ribosomal RNA, 429 nt
Filed under: uncultured Dokdonella sp.
Lineage: Bacteria; Pseudomonadati; Pseudomonadota; Gammaproteobacteria; Lysobacterales; Rhodanobacteraceae
Description: bacterial SSU rRNA
Rfam family: Bacterial small subunit ribosomal RNA
Source: RNAcentral
UGGGGAAUAUUGGACAAUGGGCGCAAGCCUGAUCCAGCCAUGCCGCGUGGGUGAAGAAGGCCUUCGGGUUGUAAAGCCCUUUUGUUGGGAAAGAAAAGCAGCCGGUUAAUACCCGGUUGUCAUGACGGUACCCAAAGAAUAAGCACCGGCUAACUUCGUGCCAGCAGCCGCGGUAAUACGAAGGGUGCAAGCGUUACUCGGAAUUACUGGGCGUAAAGCGUGCGUAGGUGGUUUGUUAAGUCAGAUGUGAAAGCCCUGGGCUCAACCUGGGAACUGCAUUUGAUACUGGCAGGCUAGAGUGCGGUAGAGGAUAGCGGAAUUCCUGGUGUAGCAGUGAAAUGCGUAGAGAUCAGGAGGAACACCCGUGGCGAAGGCGGCUAUCUGGGCCAGCACUGACACUGAGGCACGAAAGCGUGGGGAGCAAACAGG